RNAcentral lists this ribosomal RNA (374 nucleotides) under uncultured organism. RNAcentral describes it as "bacterial SSU rRNA". It matches the Rfam family "Bacterial small subunit ribosomal RNA", at positions 526 to 896 of the family's 1533-position model. The record is from RNAcentral.
CGGGGGGAGCAAGCGUUGUUCGGAUUUACUGGGCGUAAAGGGCGCGUAGGCGGCCACCGCAAGUCGACUGUGAAAUCUCCGGGCUUAACCCGGAAAGGUCAGCCGAUACUGCGGGGCUAGAGUGCAGAAGGGGCAACUGGAAUUCUCGGUGUAGCGGUGAAAUGCGUAGAUAUCGAGUGGAACACCUGCGGCGAAGGCGGGUUGCUGGGCUGACACUGACGCUGAUGCGCGAAAGCUAGGGGAGCGAACGGGAUUAGAUACCCCGGUAGUCCUAGCCUUAAACGAUGAAUGCUUGGUGUCUGGGGUUUUAUAGUCCCCGGGUGCCGUCGCUAACGCUUUAAGCAUUCCGCCUGGGGAGUACGGUCGCAAGACUG